RNAcentral lists this long non-coding RNA (1265 nucleotides) under Trifolium pratense (red clover). RNAcentral describes it as "long non-coding RNA (TPRA_LNC004153)". Lineage: Eukaryota; Viridiplantae; Streptophyta; Magnoliopsida; Fabales; Fabaceae. The record is from RNAcentral.
AUUGACCAUAGACACACUCUUCCAAUUUUAACAUAAUUAACCUUAACUAUGAGUCUUAAUUUAUUUUAUUUUUAAUUUUUAAUUUUGAAACAACACAAUUUUAUUUAUAAUAAUUCCUNNNNNNNNNNNNNNNNNNNNNNNNCAUGACAAACAAAACAUAGCAAAACCAAUACACCAUACUAGAAACCAAAACAAUCAAUUUGUACUUACCUAACCACAAAAAUGUAGCAACGCGGCAGUUAGCCUAAUAACUAAAAAAAACAUAAGGAAUCCUAUACCCUAAAAAACAAAGACUAGCAAAGCAAAAUCUUGUGUCCCUAAAAUUUUACCUUAACAAACUAUUACUUAAAUUUCUUUAGGAUUUACUAUGAUUUUUUUUUUCUUAUCGUAAUACCAUUUCUAAAAAUUGGCAUCCGCGCUAAAGUCUACUAAAUUUCAUGCUCACAUAUUAUUCAACUAGCCAUAAACUAACACAAUGUUACAUAUUCCUGAACUACAUAAUCACCUACAUAUAUGACCAUUGAUUCUCUUAGUGAAGUAAAAUUUCAAUCCAUAAGACACUCAAACAAGCAAGACCUUACUAUACUCUAAGUCUAUCAUAACAUUAUCAUAAUUAUUAGUCAUAUAAAACUAAUGUUUUCCUAAACAUUCUAAGAUAUUUCUAUGAUUCUCUAUUAUUACUCCUUCUCUAUGAACUAGUUAUGCAUAUAGAAAAUCAUUAGAUCCCAUUAUUAUCUAUUUAUUUAUACUAGUCAACCAACUAUAUUCUCAAUAAUUUAAAGUAUCAAUAUCUUUCAAUGUAGUUCCUUAGUCUACUUAGAAAAAGAAAAUUGACUAACCAUCAGGAGUUCUACUCAUUCCGACAUAUAUCCAUGUUGUCAUCAUCUGCACUAAAAUGACUCACAAAAUCUCCAUUACGAUUAGACCAUCCUUAUACCCCAUAUACAAACUUAGAAUGAAAACAAAUUAAUCCAACAAGUUCGAACAAAGAUCACACCACAAAAGCAAACAAAGAUCACAUAACAAAAGCAAACAUAGAUGACACAACAAAAGCAUAAUGAAUCUAUUCCUCAAAGACUCCCGAAAGACUCGACCAGCUCUGAUACCACUAAUUGUAACACCCCCUUUUCAGAGACUGAAAAGAAGAGCGUCACAGUUCUCUACCCAAAUUUAAAUGCUUAAAUACAUGCAAAUAAAAUCAUGCUGAUUUCAGUUCUGGAAGCAUCAUUCUAAAUGUACACCAAGAAAUAGAAAAAAUUGGACUU